RNAcentral lists this ribosomal RNA (274 nucleotides) under uncultured bacterium. Its description in RNAcentral is "partial 16S ribosomal RNA". It matches the Rfam family "Bacterial small subunit ribosomal RNA", at positions 523 to 796 of the family's 1533-position model. The record is from RNAcentral.
AUACGGAGGGUGCAAGCGUUACUCGGAAUCACUGGGCGUAAAGCGCGCGCAGGCGGCUUGAUAAGUUGGAUGUGAAAGCCUGCGGCUCAACCGUAGAACUGCAUCCAAAACUGUCAAGCUAGAGUCUGGGAGGGGAAGAUGGAAUUAGUUGUGUAGGGGUAAAAUCCGUAGAGAUAACUAGGAAUACCAAAAGCGAAGGCGAUCUUCUGGAACAGUACUGACGCUGAGGCGCGAAAGCGUGGGGAGCAAACAGGAUUAGAAACCCCAGUAGUCC